Molecule: long non-coding RNA, 1246 nt
Organism: Erinaceus europaeus (western European hedgehog)
Lineage: Eukaryota; Metazoa; Chordata; Mammalia; Eulipotyphla; Erinaceidae
Exons: 4
Source: RefSeq, a predicted model, not a curated record
UAUAACCAAAAAUAAAGACUUGAAAUGACAGAUAAUUACAGAUAUUAUUAGUUUAACCAGACACUGAACUAAAACGGCUAUGGUAAAUAUGGUUGGAGACAGAUAAAGGAACUAAGAACAGAUCCUUAAGAUAAUAUCUGAGAUUACUGACACCAGCAAUCAUUCAACUACUAGUAGUUCCCCAAUACUUCCGCUCCAGCCUAAGGAUACCCCUCAGGAGCAAGCAGAAAAGUCAGCCACGCCUGAGACUAACCUGAAUUCUCCAGUGCAGAACUGCCUGAAAGGGAAAACAGUGAAUGAUUCAGUCACUACGACAUAGUAGUUGUGAGCAUCCCUCAUUGCAGGAGAUAAAGGGCACAGACAAUGGAGCCAACAAACACAACCAGUCAGCCAGAUGUCCGUCCAGACACACAGGCAUAUGGGAUAACAACAUAAACUGACACCACAACAGUCAAAAAGAGGAACCAAAGAGCUCAAAGGCAGUGAACAGAUCGUUAGAAGCAGGCAAACAGUGAUUCUGCACACACUGCUUCAGUUCAUCUCCUGACCUAAAGUUCUCGGCUGUUUUAGGCACAACGUCUGCAAAGAGCUCGAUCUUCAUACGACCAACUUCCUGUGAAGGACAGAGGACUGUAAGAAGACCAGUUCAACGCCAUGAAAACCCCAAGGAGCAGGGAACACAAAGGCAAAUCCCUUCUCCCUCAAGCUGCUUGGUCUUUCCCACUUCUGCCUCCAUAACAACUUAUCCUUUCGUUCCUCUGUCCCUCCACAAGCUAGGCACUAGGAUGGCAGAACCCCUCUCCUCCUUCCUCCCCCGUUCCGCAGUUUCCCUUCGAUGCUCCAGCUCACCUGGCCACCGAUGCUGACAUCAAAGAAAACCACGGGGUUGACAGGGCUUGAAUUUGCCACCGCCAUGGCUCUGACCCGGAAGCAGAAGUUCUAAGAGUGGGGUUCCGGCGAACUCAAUCCCAGCUGAGACAGCCAGAAAUCGAAUGAAGGGGGUGAUGGAAAGGGAGAGAGACAGAGACACACCUUGCAACACUGCUUCAGCACUCGUGAAGCUUUCGCCUUGCAGCUACCAGGUGCCAGAUGCCAUCAGGAUGCCGGCCAGGCCUCCCUGGACUGAAGACCCCACCAAUGUGUCCUGGAGCUCAGCUUCCCCAGAGACCCACCCUACUAGGGAAAGAGAGAGGCAGACUGGGAGUAUGGACCAACCAGUCAACGUACAUGUUCAGUGGGAAAGAAA